Molecule: unclassified non-coding RNA, 345 nt
Filed under: soil metagenome
Description: partial contains 5.8S ribosomal RNA, internal transcribed spacer 2, and large subunit ribosomal RNA
Rfam family: 5.8S ribosomal RNA (bases 1-120)
Source: RNAcentral
GAUGAAGAACGCAGCAAAAUGCGAUAAGUAGUGUGAAUUGCAGAAUUCAGUGAAUCAUCGAGUCUUUGAACGCACAUUGCGCCCCCUGGUAUUCCGGGGGGCAUGCCUGUCCGAGCGUCAUUGCUGCCCUCAAGCACGGCUUGUGUGUUGGGCCUCCGUCCUCCUCCCGGGGGACGGGCCCGAAAGGCAGCGGCGGCACCGCGUCCGGUCCUCGAGCGUAUGGGGCUUCGUCACCCGCUCUUGUAGGCCCGGCCGGCGCUUGCCGACACAUCAAUCUUUUUUCCAGGUUGACCUCGGAUCAGGUAGGGAUACCCGCUGAACUUAAGCAUAUCAAUAAGCGGAGGA